GCCGUCUUAGCUCAGCAGGUAGAGCGCUUCCAUGGUAAGGAAGAGGUCACCGGUUCGAUUCCGGUAGAUGGCU
This 73-nucleotide transfer RNA is filed under the name Atopococcus tabaci. It matches the Rfam family "tRNA". Rfam says of the family: Transfer RNA (tRNA) molecules are approximately 80 nucleotides in length. Their secondary structure includes four short double-helical elements and three loops (D, anti-codon, and T loops). Lineage: Bacteria; Bacillati; Bacillota; Bacilli; Lactobacillales; Carnobacteriaceae. The record is from Rfam by way of RNAcentral.